UACGUAGGGUGCGAGCGUUAAUCGGAAUUACUGGGCGUAAAGCGUGCGCAGGCGGUUCGUUGUGUCGGCGGUGAAAGCCCCGGGCUUAACCUGGGAAUGGCCGUUGAAACUGGCGAACUGGAGUGUGGCAGAGGAGGGUGGAAUUCCGCGUGUAGCAGUGAAUGCGUAGAGAUGCGGAGGAACACCGAUGGCGAAGGCAGCCCCCUGGGCUAACACUGACGCUCAGGCACGAAAGCGUGGGGAGCAAACAGG
This 252-nucleotide ribosomal RNA is filed under the name uncultured bacterium. Its description in RNAcentral is "partial 16S ribosomal RNA". It matches the Rfam family "Bacterial small subunit ribosomal RNA", at positions 524 to 776 of the family's 1533-position model. The record is from RNAcentral.